GAUGAACGCUGGCGGCGUGCCUAAUACAUGCAAGUCGAGCGAACAGACGAGGAGCUUGCUCCUCUGACGUUAGCGGCGGACGGGUGAGUAACACGUGGAUAACCUACCUAUAAGACUGGGAUAACUUCGGGAAACCGGAGCUAAUACCGGAUAAUAUAUUUAACCGCAUGGUUCAAUAGUGAAAGACGGUUUUGCUGUCACUUAUAGAUGGAUCCGCGCCGCAUUAGCUAGUUGGUAAGGUAACGGCUUACCAAGGCAACGAUGCGUAGCCGACCUGAGAGGGUGAUCGGCCACACUGGAACUGAGACACGGUCCAGACUCCUACGGGAGGCAGCAGUAGGGAAUCUUCCGCAAUGGGCGAAAGCCUGACGGAGCAACGCCGCGUGAGUGAUGAAGGUCUUCGGAUCGUAAAACUCUGUUAUUAGGGAAGAACAAAUGUGUAAGUAACUAUGCACGUCUUGACGGUACCUAAUCAGAAAGACACGGCUAACUACGUG
This 497-nucleotide ribosomal RNA is filed under the name uncultured bacterium. RNAcentral's name for it is "partial 16S ribosomal RNA". It matches the Rfam family "Bacterial small subunit ribosomal RNA", at positions 28 to 507 of the family's 1533-position model. The record is from RNAcentral.